GAGUUUGAUCCUGGCUCAGAACGAACGCUGGCGGCGUGGAUAAGACAUGCAAGUCGAACGGGAGAAUUGCUAGCUUGCUAAUAAUUCUCUAGUGGCGCACGGGUGAGUAACACGUGAGUAACCUGCCCCCGAGAGCGGGAUAGCCCUGGGAAACUGGGAUUAAUACCGCAUAGUAUCGAAAGAUUAAAGCAGCAAUGCGCUUGGGGAUGGGCUCGCGGCCUAUUAGUUAGUUGGUGAGGUAACGGCUCACCAAGGCGAUGACGGGUAGGCCGGUCUGAGAGGAUGUCCGGCCACACUGGAACUGAGACACGGUCCAGACACCUACGGGUGGCAGCAGUCGAGAAUCAUUCACAAUGGGGGAAACCCGUGAUGGUGCGACGCCGCGUGGGGGAAUGAAGGUCUUCGGAUUGUAAACCCCUGUCAUGUGGGAGCAAAAUUAAAAAGAUAGUACCACGAGAGGAAGAGACGGCUAACUCUGUGCCAGCAGCCGCCGCCGU
This 497-nucleotide ribosomal RNA is filed under the name uncultured microorganism. Its description in RNAcentral is "bacterial SSU rRNA". It matches the Rfam family "Bacterial small subunit ribosomal RNA", at positions 9 to 524 of the family's 1533-position model. The record is from RNAcentral.